UGUGUAGGCGGAAUAGUAAGUCAGAUGUGAAAGCCUUGAGCUCAACUCAAGAAGUGCAUUUGAUACUGCUGUUCUAGAGUUCAGGAGAGGAAGGCAGAAUUCCAGGUGUAGAGGUGAAAUCCGUAGAUAUCUGGAGGAAUACCAGAGGCGAAGGCGGCCUUCUGGACUGAUACUGACGCUGAGACACGAAAGCGUGGGGAGCAAACAGGAUUAGAUACCCUGGUAGUC
Molecule: ribosomal RNA, 228 nt
Filed under: uncultured bacterium
Lineage: Bacteria
Description: partial 16S ribosomal RNA
Rfam family: Bacterial small subunit ribosomal RNA
Source: RNAcentral